This 397-nucleotide long non-coding RNA is filed under the name Triticum aestivum (bread wheat). RNAcentral describes it as "long non-coding RNA (TAES_LNC010796)". Lineage: Eukaryota; Viridiplantae; Streptophyta; Magnoliopsida; Poales; Poaceae. The record is from RNAcentral.
UAAAUCAAAAGGUCAAUGUUUGUUUACCCACAGGGAGAUCAAUGUUUUGUUUUAAUGUUCUACGGAGAGGUUGUGGCUCAUGCCUCAUGACAGGGAGAUCAAUGUUUGUUUUAAUGUUCUACGGAGAGGUUGUGGCUCAUGCCUCACGACAUUUACAAGAGGAAAAUUCAAAUAAUCUCUAGGUGCUAGCACUUAAAAGAAGGUACAGCCUUAGAGGUUCACUCUCAAGUAAAAUACAAAAGACGUAAAUAGACCUGAGAAUACAACUCAAUAGCCUGUAUUGUGUAAGCUUGGUUCCCAUCCCAUGGCAAAGGUGGAGAACUUGCUGAGAACAUGUUUGUUAGUUAAGGCCAACAUGAAAGAAAACUAAUUAAAAUAUCUGUGCGUUCCUUUUUUU